UUGUAGUCUGCAACCCGACUACAUGAAGCCGGAAUCGCUAGUAAUCGCGGAUCAGAAUGCCGCGGUGAAUACGUUCCCGGGUCUUGUACACACCGCCCGUCACACCAUGAGAGUCGGGAACACCCGAAGUCCGUAGCCUAACCGCGAAGGGGGGCGCGGCCGAAGGUGGGUUCGAUAAUUGGGGUGAAGUCGUAACAAGGUAUC
Molecule: ribosomal RNA, 204 nt
Filed under: uncultured bacterium
Lineage: Bacteria
Description: partial 16S ribosomal RNA
Rfam family: Bacterial small subunit ribosomal RNA
Source: RNAcentral